Molecule: ribosomal RNA, 478 nt
Filed under: uncultured Clostridium sp.
Lineage: Bacteria; Bacillati; Bacillota; Clostridia; Eubacteriales; Clostridiaceae
Description: bacterial SSU rRNA
Rfam family: Bacterial small subunit ribosomal RNA
Source: RNAcentral
CCGAGUACUAACUAAAGUGUUGACCGACAGCGCAUAUGAGCGAACGAAGAGAGCUCAUUACGCAAAUAAAAGUGCCAACACCAAUGACGUAGAACUGGGUGUUGAACAUUACUUAGUGGCGAACGGGUGAGUAACGCGUAGACAACCUGCCUUCUAGAUGGGGACAACACUGCGAAAGUGGUGCUAAUACCGAAUGUUGCAUUAAGCCUGCAUGGGCUUGAUACUAAAGGUGGCCUCUAUAUAUAAGCUACCACUAGAAGAUGGGUCUGCGUCUGAUUAGCUAGUUGGUGAGGUAAUGGCUCACCAAGGCGAUGAUCAGUAGCCGGUCUGAGAGGAUGAACGGCCACACUGGGACUGAGACACGGCCCAGACUCCUACGGGAGGCAGCAGUGGGGAAUCUUCCGCAAUGGACGAAAGUCUGACGGAGCAACGCCGCGUGAGUGAAGAAGGUUUUCGGAUCGUAAAGCUCUGUCUUUGA